Molecule: RNA transcript, 2275 nt
Organism: Asparagus officinalis (garden asparagus)
Lineage: Eukaryota; Viridiplantae; Streptophyta; Magnoliopsida; Asparagales; Asparagaceae
Gene name: importin subunit alpha-like
Exons: 6
Source: RefSeq, a predicted model, not a curated record
UCUCUGGCAUCAGUGCAUGAUAUAUCAAGGAGAUACUAAUUAAGUAUGCUACCAACACAAUAUGUUGCCAUUUUUCGCACACUUGCAGCAAUCCCACUGAACUGCAAUAUAAACCAAUCUCUCACCUUCAACACCCUUUUCCUUUGCCAAGAAUCAGCUGCUUUGCAACAGACCUCCCUUAUGAUACAGUGCUUAAGAUUAGGUUCAUGUAACCAUUUAAUCCACAAAGUCUUCUUAUUUAGGUGAAUCUCCCAAAUAACUUUAGCAAUUGAAGUUAUACUCCACCCUUCUGCCCCAUAUAACCCCAAGCCACCACAUCUUUUAAAUUUACGAGCAUCCUUCAACGCUAUACAGGUCAUUUUAUGCUUCUCAUCUUUUACUCCCAAAGAAACUUCCUACAGGCAACGUCAAUACCUAUGAGAAUAACGUUGUUAUGAGAGCCAGUAUAUUAGCAGAACAACAACGGGCUAAUGUAUGCUAGAAGCCUGUUGUUGUUGUUGCGGCCAUGUUGACGGUAAUGAGUCCUAAGUAUAAUUUAGUCAUGAAUCAUAUCCGGAUAAAUCUUCCUAAUGUGAGGAGAUAACAUGAAACCGGUUAAAUUUUAGUUGGCAUUUGUUUAACCUUAAAAGUAGAAACUAAAAUUUUCAUUAUAUUGCAUUUUUAUAGUAGUUUGAAUGAUUUUAUCUAUUUCAGCAUAUUGUUGAAAUAAUAGCUUGUAUUUUGCAUUAUAUUAUUUGAAAUAUUUUCUAAAUCAACCUGCAUAUACCAUCUAUUAGAUUAGCUAUUUAUUUGAGACUACUUGAUAGUAUAUUGGAGUAUCCCAAAGCUCAUUUUUUAAGUUAUUGUGGAUAGACCACCUGUUGCCAAAUUUAACUUACUAACCCUAUGGUUUUGUUGUUGCAGAUAAACCGCCUGAAAUAGUUCUAUGCUGCAGAUAGACCCAAUGAAAGGAAAUAUAUUGUUGUAGAUAGACUCCUUGAAGCGGGUAAAAGAUUCACUUAGGGGGUUUAUCUGCUACCAUAGAAUUAUAGAGAGCUGUCACCCUUAUACAUUGAUCUCCAAGGCAUGGUGAACGGUGCAAUAGAGACAUGCAGAGGUGAGCGUAGUUUUACGAUAUCAAAGAGACUAAAAGUUGGUCCAAAAUUAACAAAUUGAGUGGUUAUCCGGCGCUUGUUAGCAGGAUUCGUUUCUGCUAACUUGCGCUCCCACUGAGAUUGAGAUGGCGAAAACUAGAAAAAAUCAUGGGAAAAAAUUGCUAAAGUUUGGAUUUAGUGCUUCAAAUCCGAAUUCAUCUUCUUCGAUUGAUCAAGAAACGGGAUCGAUUGAGGAAGGUGAUGAUUUCUUGAAUAUAAUGGGAUCUACGGGGCCAAAGGGAGAAAAGAAAAAGAGGAUUAUGGAUGAAAUUCUGAAUGAUUCAAACUCAAGAUCUUGUCGGAAUCUUCCUCUGGAGAUUGGAGUUUGUCAGAUCAAUAAAUUCUCCCAACCUGAAAUUGAUUCUGCUCCUCUGGAGAUUGGAGUUUGUCAGCUCAGUGAAUCCUCUCUAGCUGGUGUUGUUCGAAAUUGAUUCUGCUCCUCUGGAGAUUGGAGUUUGUCAGCUCAGUGAAUCCUCUCUAGCUGGUGUUGUUCGCUCUAAUUCUGCUCCUCAGGUGACUGGGAGUUUGUCAGCUCAGUGAAUCCUCUCUAGCUGGUGUUGUUCGCUCUAAUUCUGCUCCUCAGGUGACUGGAGGUUAUCAGAUUAGCGAAUCUGCCCUAGCUGGUGAUGUUGAUUCCGUUGUUAAGGUGAUCAGAGGCGAAUCAUCUCAGUCAGGAGUUCAGAAGAUCAUCUGUGAUACUCUAGGCUCUCUUUCAUAUGCUGGUAAAUCUGUUUAUUAUCGACAACAAAGUGCUUCAUUGCCUUCUUCAACUACUCACGCAUAAUUACAAAAAGAGCAUUAAAAAAGAAGCUUACUGGACGCUCUCAAAUAUUACCGCUGGAACUAGAACUCAGAUCCAGUUUUUCAAUAUGCAUCACGUGCAGAAGUGACUUGCCCUCAAUGAAACCCCUGAUGCCUCUAAGGACUCAGGAUCAGAAGAUUCUGAUAAACUGUGGCAGAGGCCAAUUCGAAUCUACAACACCUAGCAUGUUUUUCCUCAAUGUAUCUUCAUUUAAAAUGAGUUGCUCCUGGCCGGACAAGAGGACUAAUUAUCUCUGCAAUCAACUCAUCGACAAAUAAUAUUAAUGGGUUCAAACAACUUUAACAAUCCAUACAUCAAGCAGUUGGAGAAAGAUGUCUGC